Molecule: non-coding RNA, 24 nt
Filed under: Cricetulus griseus (Chinese hamster)
Lineage: Eukaryota; Metazoa; Chordata; Mammalia; Rodentia; Cricetidae
Source: RNAcentral
ACUGUGUAGACUUUAGGCAAUGUG